AUGUACGACGAUAACGAUGACAAGAACAAGAAGCACAACUACAUCAUGAAUUCUCUCCAUGCAUUGUUCCCUUCAAAGACCAUGAAACAGGUAACACAUCUUUAUAUUCAUCUCGCCGUGGAAAUGCAUAUGAGCCAACGGAGGGAGGGGACCCAUGUUACUAGUGGUAGCCCGCAAAACAUUUUCACCUUUUGUUACCCUGUCAACGGUAACUAUGAGCUCCUACCGAUGGAGGAGAAUGGUGCUAGCAGCACACACGGUAUCUACACCAUGGGCGACCAUGCGAAUGAAAACUUCGGUGUACGAGAGGAGGCAACAAUCGUGGACAAUAAUGGAUUGUCCUUUGGUUGUGCAAUGGAGAAUACGGGGAUCACGGUGACGGGUGAGGCACCGCUGAUGGCAGACAAUAACAAGAUGAAGGUGUUGGAGAACAAUAUUUCCAUAGACCAACCAGUUGUUGCCCCACAUCAAUGGGGUUUUUGGACCGACGAGGAACACAGCAUGGGCGGCCUUGUUAAUGAAAACUUUGAGGUACAAGAUGAUGAGGGUACAGCCAUGGAUGAUAAUAGAUUUUCAUUUCAUUGCGCAUUGGAGGAUACAAGAAUCAGGAAGACGGAGGAGGCUCCGAUGAUGGUAGACAAGAACAAGAUGGUGGUCUUGGAGAACAAUACUUCUGUUGAUCGACCAGCUGUUGCCGCACAUCAACGAAAGUUUUGGACCAAAGAGGAACACAAGUCAUUUCUUUAUGGGCUGGAAGUCUAUGGCCGUGGCGACUGGAAAAACAUAUCCAAGCACUUCGUCACCACUAAGACCCCUGUCCAAAUUUCAAGCCAUGCACAAAAGUUUUUCAAGAGAAUAGAGAAAAAGGCAUCGUCAGGGACAAAGCGUUACAGCAUCAAUGAUGUCAGGCUCCAUGACAAUGAGCUAUUGGCAGCAAAUAAUAGUUCUGCCCCUCGGCAAACCCUUUCUUUCACCAGCCUCAACAAUGACCCAAGCUAUAGGUUGCAGGCUCCGACGAGCUCGUUCGCAGUCAUGAACAACCUAGCUCAGUGCUCGCCUUCCAUAUAUAAUCAACAAGUGGGCCAGCAGCCAAUGUGGCGUGAGCAGCAGAUGAUGGGUUCUACUGCAGCUGUAAUGGGCGGGGUAGGAAACUAUGUGCCUGAUGGCCAACAAGGGUCAGCUUAUUUUUAUCUUGGCAAUGUGUGA
RNAcentral lists this ribosomal RNA (1206 nucleotides) under Triticum aestivum (bread wheat). Its description in RNAcentral is "partial small subunit ribosomal RNA". Lineage: Eukaryota; Viridiplantae; Streptophyta; Magnoliopsida; Poales; Poaceae. The record is from RNAcentral.